AGAUGGUCCAACAUGAUACAAUGC
Molecule: non-coding RNA, 24 nt
Filed under: Arabidopsis thaliana (thale cress)
Lineage: Eukaryota; Viridiplantae; Streptophyta; Magnoliopsida; Brassicales; Brassicaceae
Source: RNAcentral